RNAcentral lists this long non-coding RNA (1492 nucleotides) under Glycine max (soybean). RNAcentral describes it as "long non-coding RNA (GMAX_LNC001399)". The record is from RNAcentral. Lineage: Eukaryota; Viridiplantae; Streptophyta; Magnoliopsida; Fabales; Fabaceae.
AAAAACAAAACAAAAUGCUCUCAAUUUAAUCAAAAGGAUCGAUUCUAGACUUAACCAGGCACUCUAGUCUAAAGAGGAUAUUAUGACUUGAAUUGCAGGAUGCUAAACUGCAGAUUAUUGAAAACCUGAAAAAAUGUAAGAUUAACAUAAAUAUUAUGCACUAAUAAUAAAAUUAAACCUUUGAUAGAUAGAUAAAUCAAUCAAAAGUGCAUGGAAGACAGAAAACAUGAAAAAUUAAAUUAAUCAAAGAACACUCUCCAAAUUGAUGAGUUUUCUCAUUGAAGUAGUAUUAUGUUAUAAAUUAAUUGCUCAUAUUUUUCUCAUCUUAAUUAAUUAUACCAAAAUAAAAAUAUAUAUGUAAACUCACACAUAUUGAGCAAAAAAUAAAUUCAUAAACUAAAACUAACAUCAAUGUAUAAAAGAGACACUGUUACAUUGUACAUCAACUUUAAUAUCUCACAAAAAUGAAAAUAAAAUCGUAGACAGAUAAACACAUACUGAACAAAAAUUAAAUUAAUAAAUUAAAACUAAUAUAUAUCAAUGUGUAACAAAAGACACUUUUUUUGCAACCUAUUAAAUUUAACGUUUCACCUAGAAUUUAACACAACAUAUAUAUGAUUUAUUACGUGGUCAACAUUUAACACGUACGAGAGGAUUAAUAAUUCUCAAUCUUAAUAAUUAGAAUACGGUAGGUAAAGCACGCACGUUUAACCUAUGUUCCCACUUCUCAGUUAAUUAAGAUGACUCGAAAUUCAAAGAAUGUCACUUUCAACCAUUGGUUGCCAAGGGUUAGUAAUUAAGUACUUAAUAAAUUAUAUUAUGCAUGAGCAAUGCAUUCCUAAUUGUUUAAUGAAAAGUGAUCACGGUGGUUUUACUUCUAAUGAAAGCUUCAUCCACCUAAUUAACUCGCCUUUCAGUAUAAACAUAACAUCAAACAUUUAAAACUGCAAAAUCAUAUAUUUUGCACUAAGCAUUUCCAAAAACAUCAUACAUAUGUCUUUUCUAAGAUCCACCAUGUCAAAUGAUCAUUCUAAAUUAACCUUUGAUGAGCUCAGAUGGGUGAUUAACAUCCGCAAAACUCUUGAAGAAGAGGUUGAGGAGGAUGGUGAAUUUGCUGUGUCCAUCUUCAGCGUGCCAAAGCUCCUUAUGGCAAGUGAUCCAGACUCUUAUGUCCCUCAACAGGUUGCAAUUGGUCCCUACCAUUAUUGGCGUCCAGAGCUAUAUGAGAUGCAAAGGUACAAGAUUGCUGCAGCAAAAAGAUUCCAGAAACACCAACAAAGCUGCAAGUUAGAGAAUCUAGUUGACCAGUUGAACAAGUUGGAGCAAAGGGUUCGAGCAUGCUACCACAAGUUCUUGGACUUCAACGGGGAAACGUUGGUGUGGAUGAUGACAGUUGAUGCCGCAUUCUUGCUUGAGUUCCUUCAAGUUUUUGCCAUGCAAGAAGGAGCAAAGGUACAAAGGGUUUCCUCCAGCAUGUCUCAUUUGGUGGACU